UAGCUGAGCUCAGCGCACGCUAAAUUAAUUCUUACCGCUAGCCGAACAAAACGAAAAACGCAACAUUAAAAAAGGGAUUGUCCAGCACACUUGCAGUAGACGAAAAAGCAGAAGUGCGGAAGAGCUUAAGCAUGCUGGCGGAACAGCAUGCAUAAGGGAGCAGAAGAGAGAGACAGAGAGGAAAAACGCUAAUAGAUGUACAAGGCAGCAGAAGCAGGAGAGCAGAUGAGCAAACGCAUACAGGCUUAACAAUGCAGUGAGUAGAAAUUCAGAAGAGUUUACGCAACCGGCGCCACAAUACAUGUACAACUGGACAAUGACAAUAAAGCCAUGCAAGAGGUUUGGGUUCCAUAUAAAGUGUGGAUACGGGUGGCUGCCAGAACUGAAACCACCAAAAAUUCAUUUGUUUCUUGCUUACUCUCUCGCGCUCUCUACUAAGUUAUGGCAGUUGCACCAGUUACUAUACAGUCAGCAGUGGAACUUGCACAUCCAGGCAGCACUAUGCUAAUACAAGUACAAUGUAGCAGAGUUUACGCAGCAAGCGCAACCAUACAUGUACAGCUGGACAAUGACAGUGAAGCCAUGCA
Molecule: long non-coding RNA, 587 nt
Organism: Drosophila hydei
Lineage: Eukaryota; Metazoa; Arthropoda; Insecta; Diptera; Drosophilidae
Exons: 3
Source: RefSeq, a predicted model, not a curated record